RNAcentral lists this ribosomal RNA (201 nucleotides) under uncultured bacterium. Its description in RNAcentral is "partial 16S ribosomal RNA". It matches the Rfam family "Bacterial small subunit ribosomal RNA", at positions 524 to 724 of the family's 1533-position model. The record is from RNAcentral.
UACGUAGGGGGCUAGCGUUGUCCGGAAUCAUUGGGCGUAAAGCGCGUGUAGGCGGCCCGGUAAGUCCGCUGUGAAAGUCGGGGGCUCAACCCUCGAAAGCCGGUGGAUACUGUCGGGCUCGAGUGCGGAAGAGGCGAGUGGAAUUCCUGGUGUAGCGGUGAAAUGCGCAGAUAUCAGGAGGAACACCGAUUGCGAAGGCAG